AUCGAUGAAGAACGCAGCGAAAUGCGAUAAGUAAUGUGAAUNGCAGAAUUCAGUGAAUCAUCGNAUCUUUGAACGCACAUUGCGCNCCCGUGGUAUUCCGCGGGGCAUGCCUGUUCGAGCGUCAGUACAACACUCAAGCUCUGCUUGGUAUUNGGCCCUGCCGGCAACGGCAGSCCUUAAAAUCAGUGGCGGCGCCAUCUGGCUCUAAGCGUAGUAAUACUCCUCGCUACAGAGUCCCGGUAGAUGCUUGCCAACAACCCCCAACUUUCUAAGUUUGACCUCGGAUCAGGUAGGGAUACCCGCUGAACUUAAGCAUAUCAAUAAGCGGAGGAAAAGAAACCAACAGGGAUUACCUCAGUAACGGCGAGUGAAGCGGUAACAGCUCAAAUUUGAAAUCUGGGUCUUUCAGGCUCCGAGUUGUAAUUUGUAGAAGAUGCUUCGGGUGUGGCUCCGGUCUAAGUUCCUUGGAACAGGACGUCAUAGAGGGUGAGAAUCCCGUACGUGACUGGUUGCCUUCGCCCAUGUGAAGCUCUUUCGACGAGUCGAGUUGUUUGGGAAUGCAGCUCAAAAUGGGUGGUAAAUUUCAUCUAAAGCUAAAUAUUGGCCAGAGACCGAUAGCGCACAAGUAGAGUGAUCGAAAGAUGAAAAGCACUUUGAAAAGAGGGUUAAAUAGCACGUGAAAUUGUUGAAAGGGAAGGAUUUAUGACCAGACUUUUUCUGGGCGGAUCAUCCGGUGUUCUCACCGGUGCACUUUGCCCAGUUUAGGCCAGCAUCGAUUUUCGGUGGGGGAUAAAAGCUUUAGGAAUGUGGCUCUUUCGGGAGUGUUAUAGCCUAUUGUAUAAUACCCUACUGGGGNAUCGAGGUACGCGCUUCUGCAAGGAUGCUGGCGUAAKGGUUAUCAAUCACCCGUCUUGAAACMCGG
RNAcentral lists this ribosomal RNA (922 nucleotides) under uncultured Ascomycota. RNAcentral describes it as "eukaryotic LSU rRNA". The stretch from base 276 to 922 matches the Rfam family "Eukaryotic large subunit ribosomal RNA", at positions 1 to 664 of the family's 3401-position model. Lineage: Eukaryota; Fungi; Ascomycota. The record is from RNAcentral.